GAGGGUACAGCUCACUGAAAGAGUGUACGCCUAGCAUGCAGGAGGUUCUGGGUUCAAUCCCCAGUACCUUCA
Molecule: transfer RNA, 72 nt
Filed under: Camelus ferus (Wild Bactrian camel)
Lineage: Eukaryota; Metazoa; Chordata; Mammalia; Artiodactyla; Camelidae
Rfam family: tRNA
About the family: Transfer RNA (tRNA) molecules are approximately 80 nucleotides in length. Their secondary structure includes four short double-helical elements and three loops (D, anti-codon, and T loops).
Source: Rfam by way of RNAcentral